CGCUUGCUAGUUUGCUCCUUUGCUGUGAAGUGAUUUGCUCUGAGCUCUUAAUCCAGGGCAAAUCGUGGGAAAACCCUAGAUUUGGCGCCAUCUUCUAGGGGUUUUCCUCGGUGCAUUUCGAUUCUGUUUUCAGGAAAUUUUUUUCACUGAGGUGGUGAGUUGAUUUGUGAAGGAGACAGACUGGUAUAGCAUCUGGGAGAACUAUAUGGCAAAAGUUGCUACACCUGGUUCCAAUUCUCUUCAAAUCGGUGGGCCUGCUUUAAAGGUUGCUCCAAUGGUCAAAAGGAAGACCCCAUCAGAACUGAGAGGAGAACAAUUGAAGAGGACAAAUGUUGUAGAGAUUGUAGAUGAGUCACCAGCUCCAUUGUCUGGUUUAAUGAAUAACACUAGUGAUAAUGGGCUUAAGAAACCAGAUCUAUCAAGGAAUCCAAGAUACAUUGACACCCGUAUGGAUGAAGUAUAUCCUGUCAAAAAAUCCAGGCUCAGGAUGCUUUCUGUAAAGGAAAAUGCAAAGGAAAACAUAUCAACUGAGCAAACAAACAGCAUGAAGAAUAUCUCUAUGCUUUCAAAUUUGAAAGCCAAGAGACAACUCUCAUGUCCCGAAAAUUCUUCUGCAUGCUCUAUAGUUUCCAAAGAAGGUAAGGUGCAAGCUCGUCAAACAAUAGAAAGGUGCAGCCAAAAUAUAUUCCGAAGUGUUACUGAGCUUUCAUCAAAUGGUGAAAAAUCAUCUGGAAUGGCUCUUGUUGAUAUGGAUAAAGCAUUAAAAGGACUAGUUGCCCAUGAACCUCCCACCAGUUCUGUUUUAAAUGCUGACUCUUCCGAAAAGUUUGGCAAUCAUACUUCAAUUCAUUCAAGCAAUUUUGUCUCUGAAUGCUUUAUUCCAGGCCAAAAGGCUCCUCUUGAUUUUACUUUGAAAACAAAAAUGCGGUUGGUGUCCUCUUGCUCCGUGAAUUGGAUUCAUAGGUCAAUUAUGUGUAGUGUCUACAAUGGAAUGCCACAAUUAACUUCGCAGUUUGGUUGUUCCAAAGAUGGUAGUAGCUUAGGGCAAGAAUUGACUUCCCAAAUUCUUAGUUCCAAAGCAUUACAUUCAUGGAUUUAUCCUCAGUCUACAUUGCCACCUUCCGUCAUAUCGGUGUUGAGUUCACAAGCAGCAGAUGGAGUGGAAAUAGACUUUUUAAGAAAACGGCAAAUGGGAUGGGAGGAUUCAUUUCGGAGUCUUUAUUACAUGCUUCGAAAAGACAUUUGCAAUAUCUUUUAUGUGUGUACAUCACAUUUUGUGGUAUUGUUCAUCAAUAGUAGUGGCUCAGGAAGAACCAAAAACUUAUGCAAUGCUUACAUCUCCCAAUCAACAAGAGAUCUGAGGUCGUUGUUAAGAAAGCAUGAUGUUUACUUCUCUAUGCCACUUUGCCAUUCUAACAUAGAGCAAGCGACCACUGAAGAUCUAGUUGAGCUCUCAGAAAUUGAGAAGCAAAAUUUGGGCCAGACUCGACGUCCGACCACCUUGUCUGAUGUUGAUCAUAGCCCACAAUCUCUCUUAGCUUUUUGUGGAAAUAAAAAUGUACAUGCAUUAUAUGAUUUUUUAUUAAAUUACAGAUCUUCCUUAACCUUUUUGUCUGGCGUGGAUGUUCCUGUAUUGUAUUCACCUGUUUCAUUUCAGAAUGCUGCUCUUUCCACUCCUGAGAUAAGAUGCAUGGAAAUGAAAAGAGUUGAUCAUGUUGCUGGUUCCUUCAAAGAAUUUGAAGUUAACAAUGGUGAACACAUACAAGGUUCAUCUUCUGGUCUAUGCUCUAGUAUUGAGAUCAAGGAUGCAUAUAUUCCAUCAUGGAUUAUUUGCCGUGUAUGUGCACUAAUAAGAUCUAAAGGGAAGAGCUUUGAGGCAAGCUUCAUAACAGAGCGUACCUCAAUUGGCUUGAAUGUUGCUCUUGAGACAAUAUGUGAGGAAACUGAUUCCGGUGCUGUGGCAAGCAAAAGCUUGCAAGAUAACCGUCAUUCUAUUGGCAUUCCAGAAGCUAAAGUUUCUCCUAGCAUGGGUUCAAGCUUUGUAAAAGGCCUGAAGUACAACGAUGGUUCUUAUACAGUUUCUCUCUCUCCUAUAUGACAUAUUGAAUCUGAUAGAAAUGCAACAUGGAGAUAUUUUUAUGGUACUUGCGCAACUUGAUGGUCUCUCUAUGACAUUUUGCCUUUUCGGUCUAUGGCACAGAUGCAACAUUGGAAUGCUGCAGUGGUUCUUGCACAUAUUUCCUCUCCUGGGUGACAUUUUACCUCUGUGAUCUUUAGCAGAGAUACAAUGAAAUAUUUCACUGCAUAUUGCUAAUUAAGUUGAUCCUUUAUCCAUUUAUUCUGAUCCUGUAUGAUUACCAGUUUUUUAAUGAUGAUUUGUAGCUCAUAUUUAAGAAUCAUUGAUUUCUAGUUUUCAGCAUGGAAUUUUUUGGUGGGGAGCUUUUAUUCUUGAAGAAGCAUUUGGGUUGAGAAAAUGGAUCAUUAAUAGUUUUAAGCUGGAGCUACAAUAAUGGCCAUCAUCAAGUCUAAACUUUUUCAUAUUUUUUGGUACAGUAAGUAUUAACAUUUGCUUUCUAUUGAAGAAUUGCAUAUUUAUGAGAAAAUUACGUGAUUGAUUAGUAAAAAUCAGUAAGUAAGAUUGUUGUUUGUAUAA
Molecule: unclassified non-coding RNA, 2653 nt
Filed under: Hevea brasiliensis (rubber tree)
Lineage: Eukaryota; Viridiplantae; Streptophyta; Magnoliopsida; Malpighiales; Euphorbiaceae
Source: RNAcentral